UCAUCUCCGGGGGUAGAGCACUGUUUCGGCAAGGGGGUCAUCCCGACUUACCAACCCGAUGCAAACUGCGAAUACCGGAGAAUGUUAUCACGGGAGACACACGGCGGGUGCUAACGUCCGUCGUGAAGAGGGAAACAACCCAGACCGCCAGCUAAGGUCCCAAAGUCAUGGUUAAGGGGGAAACGAUGUGGGAAGGCCCAGACAGCCAGGAUGUUGGCUUAGAAGCAGCCAUCAUUUAAAGAAAGCGUAAUAGCUCACUGGUCGAGUCGGCCUGCGCGGAAGAUGUAACGGGGCUAAACCAUGCACCGAAGCUGCGGCAGCGACGCUUAUGCGUUGUUGGGUAGGGGAGCGUU
Molecule: ribosomal RNA, 353 nt
Filed under: Shigella flexneri
Lineage: Bacteria; Pseudomonadati; Pseudomonadota; Gammaproteobacteria; Enterobacterales; Enterobacteriaceae
Description: bacterial LSU rRNA
Rfam family: Bacterial large subunit ribosomal RNA
Source: RNAcentral